CCCUUAGAUGUUCUGGGCUGCACGCGCGCUACACUGAUGCGCUCAACGAGUUUACGACCUUGCCCGGAAGGGUUGGGUAAUCUUUUUAAAACGCAUCGUGAUGGGGAUAGAUUAUUGAAAUUAUUAAUCUUGAACGAGGAAUUCCUAGUAAACGCAGAUCAUCAAUCUGCAUUGAUUACGUCCCUGCCCUUUGUACACACCGCCCGUCGCACCUACCGAUUGGAUGGUCCGGUGAAGCCUCGGGAUUGUGGUUCUUGCCGCUUUAUUGUGGCGUGACCGCGAGAACUUGUCUAAACCUUAUCAUCUAGAGGAAGGUGAAGUCGUAACA
Molecule: ribosomal RNA, 328 nt
Filed under: uncultured eukaryote
Lineage: Eukaryota
Description: partial 18S ribosomal RNA
Rfam family: Eukaryotic small subunit ribosomal RNA
Source: RNAcentral